UCCGAUGUAGUAUAGUGGUUAGUAUACUGCGCUUUCAUUGAAAGGCACCGCAGGGGCCGGGGUUCGAUUCCCGCAUCGGAG
RNAcentral lists this transfer RNA (81 nucleotides) under Parascedosporium putredinis. It matches the Rfam family "tRNA". Rfam says of the family: Transfer RNA (tRNA) molecules are approximately 80 nucleotides in length. Their secondary structure includes four short double-helical elements and three loops (D, anti-codon, and T loops). Lineage: Eukaryota; Fungi; Ascomycota; Sordariomycetes; Microascales; Microascaceae. The record is from Rfam by way of RNAcentral.